UACGUAGGGUCCAAGCGUUGUCCGGAAUUACUGGGUAUAAAGGGUGCGCAGGCGGGCUCGUGCGUCGAAGGUUAAAGGCCAUGGCUCAACCAUGGAAAUGCCCUCGAUACGGCGAGUCUUGAGUAUGAGAGAGGAAGAUGGAAUUCCUGGUGUAGCAGUGAAAUGCGUAGAUAUCAGGAGGAACACCGGUGGCGAAGGCGGUCUUCUGGCUCAUUACUGACGCUCAGGCACGAAAGCGUGGGGAGCGAACAGGAUUAGAUACCCGGGUAGUCC
This 273-nucleotide ribosomal RNA is filed under the name uncultured bacterium. Its description in RNAcentral is "partial 16S ribosomal RNA". It matches the Rfam family "Bacterial small subunit ribosomal RNA", at positions 524 to 796 of the family's 1533-position model. The record is from RNAcentral.